This 2343-nucleotide long non-coding RNA is filed under the name Fukomys damarensis (Damara mole-rat). RNAcentral's name for it is "lncRNA (ENSFDAG00000029081.1)". The record is from RNAcentral. Lineage: Eukaryota; Metazoa; Chordata; Mammalia; Rodentia; Bathyergidae.
AUGGAUGACGUUUGGAGGGGCAAGAACGGCAGGGACUGCAGGCUGCUCCAGCCGGCGGUCCUGGGGGUCCUGCUGGCGGUGAUCGUGGUGCUGGCAGUGACCCUGGGCUACUCUGGGACCAAAACCUGCGACGCCUGCGAAGAUGGCCUCCGGGCAGAGGCGAGGUGCCACAAUAUCACCGACCACCUGCAGGACCGGCUGACCCGGGCGCAGAAGACUUUGCAGGAUGCCCGUGCCCUCUGCGACAGCACCGUGGAAAAUCUGAAUGCUGCCCUGGCCGAGAUGAAAACGCAAGAAGAGCAGCAACGGAAGCAAGUGCAGGACCUCAAAAAUGAGAUCGAGGAUUUGAAGCAGAAGCUACAGAGGGCGGAGGAGGAGGCGCAGCUGCUGAGGCCGCAGCCUGCGGGCGGAGGGCGGAUGGAUGCGAUGGAUGCGAAUGGGCUCCCUGGCUUCGAAGUCCCCAGACCCGCCGAUCUGCGGGGUGUCGGGUUGGGGGUGGGGUGGGGCUCCUCUGCCGCUUCUCGGGGUCACGGUUGGGGUCUCUUCCUUCUGGGGUCUUCUGCUCCAAAACAAUAAACACUCCUUUCGAGAGGAAAGAACUUGUUCUCAGUUCCUGGAAGUCACUGUCGCCUGAGUUCAGGGUUAGCCCCCAUGGGUGAGCGUGGGAACCCCUCUGCGCCACACCCCGAAGUCCUGCGACCCCUCCACCAUGCCAGGGUGCCCAGCUGCCUCUUCCUGAAAGCUCCCUCAGGACCUCACCUGGUGUGCAGAGCCCGGAUGCCCCCCUGCCCGUCCUCGUGGGGAACCUGAGGCUGGGGAGGGUAACCGUGCUGCUUUUCCUGCCUCCUGCAGAAAGCGUACGGUUUGGAUUUAAACCUGAAUCCCCAGGCACAUCUAGGCCGGGCCUCUCUCAGAAUGUUAUCUGCAACCCCCAAGCUCUUAUUCAUCCUUCAGCACCCGCUAUGGGGCGCCCGCCCCAGAAAAGCACUUGAAAGUGACAGCCACAGUCCCGCAGAUGCCUCCCUCACCCACAUCUGGGUUCCUGCCAGGCCCUACGGUCCGGGCCUGGCCUUAUCUUUCUUCCUCCAUGUUCCCUUGGAAUCCAUGCAAUUUCCUGUCUGUGGCAAUGGGGCUCGGAGCCUUGGGUCCCAGAUUUCGGCCACCUCCUCGGGUCCCACAGUGUCCGGGUCACAUGGUCAGUGGGAGAGAAGCUCCGGGGACCCCAAAUCCGCCUGUGCUUGCUUCCGCUGGAGCAACCAAAGCCAGGGGUGCAGGGUCGCCAGCCCAGGGACCUUUGGGCUGGGAGGCUGUGUGUGGACCGUCCCAGCCCCGGAGAUGUACAGGACCUAUCUGGUGGCGCAGUUUGGGGGUGCAAGGGUGCCCCGGAAAGGGAAGAGCCGCUUCCUGGGUCUGCAGGGAUGAGGCAAUGAGCUGGGGAGGGGCCUAGAUUUAGUGAGACCUUGUGUCAAAAUUUUAAAAAUCCAAAGAGGGCUGGGGAUGCAGCUCAGUGCAAAGGCCCUGGGUACCACCCCCGCACCACAAAGAUAAACAUAAAGAAAUAAACGCUACUUAUUAGGACCGAGGAUUUAGCUCAGUAGCACCCCGCUUGUGUACCCUCCAAAUUAAAAUAGAAUAAAUGUGUCAGACUUGGGCCCAGAACCUGCUCUUCAGGGUGAACUUGGUGUCCCCUUGCAGGACGGUAGGGACAGACUCAGGGGGCCCAGCCGGGGCUAAGCCCCCCCACACCGUGUAGGUGCACAAAUCAGGGUCACAGAAGUUCCUGCAGGGCCAGGUGGUUUCCACACACUAUGAGAGAAAGGCACAGAGAGAGAGGCGCUGUGGGCCAGGCUCCACCUGUGGCUCCUGCCCUCUACCGGGACUGAGACACUGUCACUUUUUCUGACUUUGACCCCCACCCGGUAAGCACCAGCCUGUGCAGUACUGGGACCAGGUGCUCACCCAGGGUGCUGGGGUGGCAAUGGGUGUCAGGAAGGUGAAGUGUCAGGAAGGGAUGGGGACCAAGCCGGUCUUGAGGAUUCAGUGGCCUGGGAAAGAGGGAAGAGGGACUCAGGCGGGCCUGGGCUCAGUGCAAAGGCCCUGGGGCAGGAAGAGUAGGGGGAAGGAAGGGAGGGGAGACAGGAGGGGAAGGAGGAAGAAGCGUAAGGGAGGGGGAAGAGAAGGAACCCAGGACUGAUGCGGUCCAGUGGGGUAUGGACAAGAAGGGGGGGAGGGAACGAGGUUUGGGCAGAGGGGAGGAGCUGGCAGGUGUCGCUCGCGUGCUGAGCGCGCCCCCUGGCGCUGAGCCGUGGCCACCACCUGAUCCUGUCGCCCGCCCGCGCUCGG